CCCACCGUAAGUUGAUCACGGCUAACGAGGCGUAGAACGAAGCUGUGAGGCGAUGAACCAGAACCCGGAUAGAAGGUACAACCAAGCAGGGUGAACGGGCAUAAAGCUGUGAAGCUCUCGUUGAUCAAGGCGAAAUGUCGUAAAUCCGGCAGGUUUGUGUAUUGAAAGAGUGUGCU
Molecule: non-coding RNA, 176 nt
Organism: Nitrosomonas sp. Is79A3
Lineage: Bacteria; Pseudomonadati; Pseudomonadota; Betaproteobacteria; Nitrosomonadales; Nitrosomonadaceae
Source: Rfam